This 301-nucleotide ribosomal RNA is filed under the name uncultured bacterium. Its description in RNAcentral is "partial 16S ribosomal RNA". It matches the Rfam family "Bacterial small subunit ribosomal RNA", at positions 509 to 807 of the family's 1533-position model. The record is from RNAcentral.
CAGCCGCCGCGGGAAUACGUAGGUGGCAAGCGUUGUCCGGAAUUAUUGGGCGUAAAGGGAGCGUAGGCGGUCGGGUAAGUUGGAUGUGAAAUCCUGGGGCUCAACCUCAGAACUGCAUUCAAUACUGCUUGGCUAGAGUAUUGGAGAGGUGAGUGGAAUUCACGGUGUAGCAGUGAAAUGCGUAGAUAUCGUGAGGAAGACCAGCGGCGAAGGCGGCUCACUGGACAAUUACUGACGCUGAUGCUCGAAGGCCAGGGGAGCAAACGGGAUUAGAUACCCCGGUAGUCCCUGUCUCUUAUAC